Molecule: ribosomal RNA, 450 nt
Filed under: uncultured bacterium
Lineage: Bacteria
Description: partial 16S ribosomal RNA
Rfam family: Bacterial small subunit ribosomal RNA
Source: RNAcentral
GUGGGGAAUAUUGGACAAUGGGCGAAAGCCUGAUCCAGCCAUGCCGCGUGUGUGAAGAAGGUCUUCGGAUUGUAAAGCACUUUAAGUUGGGAGGAAGGGCAGUAAGUUAAUACCUUGCUGUUUUGACGUUACCGACAGAAUAAGCACCGGCUAACUUCGUGCCAGCAGCCGCGGUAAUACGAAGGGUGCAAGCGUUAAUCGGAAUUACUGGGCGUAAAGCGCGCGUAGGUGGUUUUGUAAGUUGGAGGUGAAAUCCCCGGGCUCAACCGGGGAACUGCCUCCAAAACUGCAUGACUAGAGUACGGUAGAGGGUAGUGGAAUUGCCUGUGUAGCGGUGAAAUGCGUAGAUAUAGGAAGGAACACCAGUGGCGAAGGCGACUACCUGGACUGAUACUGACACUGAGGUGCGAAAGCGUGGGGAGCAAACAGGAUUAGAUACCCGAGUAGUCC